AAGGAAGGUGGAUCUCUGUGAGU
RNAcentral lists this non-coding RNA (23 nucleotides) under Cricetulus griseus (Chinese hamster). Lineage: Eukaryota; Metazoa; Chordata; Mammalia; Rodentia; Cricetidae. The record is from RNAcentral.